CAAUUUCUUUAUUAUCAAGCAAAAGCAAAGGCAUCAUGUAGUUGGUUGCGUCUUUAAUCCUUCUCAAUUUGUGAAGUUUAGAGUCAUUAAAGUGUCGACAAAAUUCACCAAGAAUAAAUUAACGGUCGUCUAGCGCAUGGUAAAGUUACGGGAGAAAUUUGGCGAUACUUGCGGUUUAUUGAACGUACAACUUCCUACCUUCAUUUCGCGAACUCGGCUACGACAAUGUGAUCUGAUAGAGUCUAUUACUGGCAGUAGUUCAGGAGUGGAUAUGAUCUUGUUGUGAUGUAUUCUAUCGUAACAAAAUAUGAAAAAAAUGAAAAAUAUCCAGCACUGUACAUAGGUAUCUCACCAAUUGCAUCAUAUAUUCAGCAAUACUGAAGGAACGUGAUGAAAUUGUUAUGGAAUGAUUUAAAGACAGACGUAUUGAAAAAAAUAUCGAUCGAAAUCAAAAAUACAUUACGUCUUAAUCUUACCGCAGCAGAAAGAAGAGACAUCGACAACUUAACUCUGUUUCCCAACCAUUCUAAACAAUCACGUACAUCUGGGAUGAGCAAAAUUUGAAAACGAAGCCUGUACAAUGUGAAGUAAGGACACAGGAGUCAAAAUACAUUUCACUUUACCUUAAUCCACUCAAGAAGAAGUUUCAGUACAUCAACAACAUAGUCAAACGAAGUACAUACUGUACAGGCUGUGAGAAGAAAAAAAUACUUUACAAACGUCAGUUGUUAUAAAUGUCAAGCCAUCUCAUCCAUUUUUUCCUUAUCUACGUACGUACGUAUGUAAAUCUUUCAAUCUUACCAUUACAUUAAUAUUUACAUUAAUCAUGUUCAACAUGCACGCGGCUUUCACCUUGUAUCACGUGGCCAUCAUAUUGUUCUUAAAUGGAAACAUUAAAGAUAUAGUAAACUUACACUGACAUUACCAAAGGCAGCAAGAAUCGGAUGAAUGACGCGCUUUGGAAGCUGUUCAAAGGAAAGAAAAUGUAUGUGAGAACAAAAAGAAACUGUGUAAUAAACGAAACUGGGAUUUUCUGUAUAAAUCAAA
Molecule: long non-coding RNA, 1047 nt
Organism: Xenia sp. Carnegie-2017
Lineage: Eukaryota; Metazoa; Cnidaria; Anthozoa; Malacalcyonacea; Xeniidae
Exons: 4
Source: RefSeq, a predicted model, not a curated record